UACAGAGGUCCCAAGCGUUGUUCGGAUUCAUUGGGCGUAAAGGGUGCGUAGGCGGCGCGGUAAGUCGGGUGUGAAAUCUCGGGGCUUAACUCCGAAACUGCAUUCGAUACUGCCGUGCUUGAGGACUGGAGAGGAGACUGGAAUUUACGGUGUAGCGGUGAAAUGCGUAGAUAUUCGGAAGAACACCGGUGGCGAAGGCGACCUUCUGGGCCGCAACUGACGCUGAGGCACGAAAGCCUGGGGAGCGAACGGG
Molecule: ribosomal RNA, 253 nt
Filed under: uncultured bacterium
Lineage: Bacteria
Description: partial 16S ribosomal RNA
Rfam family: Bacterial small subunit ribosomal RNA
Source: RNAcentral